RNAcentral lists this ribosomal RNA (1071 nucleotides) under Lichenothelia calcarea. Its description in RNAcentral is "partial small subunit ribosomal RNA". It matches the Rfam family "Eukaryotic small subunit ribosomal RNA", at positions 91 to 845 of the family's 1831-position model. The record is from RNAcentral. Lineage: Eukaryota; Fungi; Ascomycota; Dothideomycetes; Lichenotheliales; Lichenotheliaceae.
GAUGCUCAUUAAUCAGUUAUCGUUUAUUUGAUAGUACCUUACUACAUGGAUAACCGUGGUAAUUCUAGAGCUAAUACAUGCUAAAAACCCCGACUCCGGGAGGGGUGUAUUUAUUAGAUAAAAAACCAACGCCCUUCGGGGCUCCUUGGUGAUUCAUAAUAACUCAACGAAUCGCAUGGCCUUGCGCCGGCGAUGGUUCAUUCAAAUUUCUGCCCUAUCAACUUUCGAUGGUAGGAUAGUGGCCUACCAUGGUAUCAACGGGUAACGGGGAAUUAGGGUUCGAUUCCGGAGAGGGAGCCUGAGAAACGGCUACCACAUCCAAGGAAGGCAGCAGGCGCGCAAAUUACCCAAUCCCGACACGGGGAGGUAGUGACAAUAAAUACUGAUACAGGGCUCUUUUGGGUCUUGUAAUUGGAAUGAGUACAAUUUAAAUCCCUUAACGAGGAACAAUUGGAGGGCAAGUCUGGUGGACGUAGACCUCAGCACUGCUGACGCCAGACAGAGCGGGGCCCCGGUCAUCCCGCUAGUCGAGCACCCGAUCCGUGACGGGUGGGUGCCGGCAAGGUAACCUGGUACGGGGGAGCCUGGCGGUCCCUUUGGGGGGACCCACGGCGAUCCCGUGACGAGCGGCUCCACGGGCCGCCGUCGUAACGCGCGCAAAGGUACCGGUCGUCCCGCGACGGACGGCUCGAGGGACGUGCUAUCCCCGCGCGAAAGCGCGCCCUUAACCGGAGCACCCGUCAUGCGAUGGUUCAAGGGGUACCCCGAUCCGAGCGGGGUGCGGCCGACGAUGAAAGAGGCCAGCAGCCGCGGUAAUUCCAGCUCCAAUAGCGUAUAUUAAAGUUGUUGCAGUUAAAAAGCUCGUAGUUGAACCUUGGGCCUGGCUGGCCGGUCCGCCUCACCGCGUGCACUGGUCCGGCCGGGCCUUUCCUUCUGGGGAUCCGCAUGCCCUUCACUGGGUGUGCCGGGGAACCAGGACUUUUACUGUGAAAAAAUUAGAGUGUUCAAAGCAGGCCUUUGCUCGAAUACAUUAGCAUGGAAAAUAGAAUAGGACGCGUUCUAUUUGUGGUC